CUACGGGGCGCUCCAGUGAGGAAUAUUGCCCAAUGGACGAAAGUCUGAGGCAGCAACGCCGCGUGGGCGAUGAAGGCCUUCGGGUCGUAAAGCCCUUUUCUGGGGGAAGAGGAAGGACGGUACCUCAGGAAUAAGUCACGGCUAACUACGUGCCAGCAGCCGCGGUAAUACGUAGGUGGCGAGCGUUAUCCGGAUUUACUGGGCGUAAAGCGCGUGCAGGUGGUUUCGUAAGUCGGACGUGAAAGCUCCUGGCUUAACUGGGAGAGGUCGUUCGAUACUGCGGGACUUGAGGUCGGGAGAGGGACGUGGAAUUCCCGGUGUAGUGGUGGAAUGCGUAGAUAUCGGGAGGAACACCAGUGGCGAAGGCGGCGUCCUGGCCCGUACCUGACACUAAGACGCGAAAGCGUGGGGAGCGAACGGGAUUAGAUACCCUAGUAGUC
Molecule: ribosomal RNA, 440 nt
Filed under: uncultured bacterium
Lineage: Bacteria
Description: partial 16S ribosomal RNA
Rfam family: Bacterial small subunit ribosomal RNA
Source: RNAcentral